Molecule: ribosomal RNA, 433 nt
Filed under: uncultured bacterium
Lineage: Bacteria
Description: partial 16S ribosomal RNA
Rfam family: Bacterial small subunit ribosomal RNA
Source: RNAcentral
AACGAACGCUGGCGGCAUGCCUAACACAUGCAAGUCGAACGAGACCUUCGGGUCUAGUGGCGCACGGGUGCGUAACGCGUGGGAACCUGCCCUUAGGUUCGGAAUAACUCCCCGAAAGGGGUGCUAAUACCGGAUAAUGUCUUCGGACCAAAGAUUUGUCGCCUUUGGAUGGGCCCGCGUUGGAUUAGCUAGUUGGUAGGGUAAAAGCCUACCAAGGCGACGAUCCAUAGCUGGUCUGAGAGGAUGAUCAGCCACACUGGGACUGAGACACGGCCCAGACUCCUACGGGAGGCAGCAGUGGGGAAUAUUGGACAAUGGGCGAAAGCCUGAUCCAGCAAUGCCGCGUGAGUGAUGAAGGCCUUAGGGUUGUAAAGCUCUUUUACCCGAGAUGAUAAUGACAGUACCGGGAGAAGAAGCUCCGGCUAACUCCGUG